Molecule: long non-coding RNA, 2928 nt
Filed under: Mus musculus (house mouse)
Lineage: Eukaryota; Metazoa; Chordata; Mammalia; Rodentia; Muridae
Description: long non-coding RNA chr19:45543805-45546733
Source: RNAcentral
UUGGCACCUAGGCUCUGCCUUUGCCUGCUGUUUGAGAGGCAGGAACUCGAGGCAGGUCUGGAUUGUUUACAUCCACCCAGGGCUCUAAAAUAAAGUGGGAGCUGGGCAUCUCAAACAGGGUCGAAGAAGUUGGCAGAUUUAAGAAAAGGAGGCACUGGUCCAUUCCCCAGAUAAUGCAGACAUGAGUUCAGAUGCCCAGCCACCCCAGUUCUCAUGCAAACAGGAAACCCCCACCCCCACCCCCACCCCCACUCCCACCCCGGGCAAAGUGUCUGGAAAACAGAAGCAAACACUGACAUCCUGGGAGCUGGUGAGGAAAGGAGCGAGAGGACAUAGAGAACUGGCCGAAGAAAAGAGACAGGGAGAAGUGGGGCCAGCUGACUACCGCACAGCCUUCCUCCCAAGGCUCCUUCUGGCGUGCCUGGAGCAAUUUCAAAUGCCUUUACUUUCUCAGAAACUGACUUCCUCCUAGGACCCACACAAGUGGCCCUCCCCUUGGGGUUUCUGCAGUGUGUUCAGGUCUCACCCCACCCCCAUUUCAGCUGGCUUAACCACCAGACCUGUCAAGGUCUUGGCCUUGGGGAGCCUCCCACCCUUGCAAGGAGGCUUCAGUAAUGACACCAAGUGGAGGAUGGGAAGGGGGCAGAAGGGAUGGGCCUCGGCUCUCUCUCACUUCACUUUUUCUGUAGCGUUAUUGACCCGUCAUUAGUUAUCCGUCCAAGGUCGCCAGGUCUGGCCCAGCCAUAAAUCACCGCCGCUGGGGGGGGGGGGGGGGCGGGGGCGGGGGGGGGGGAGAAGUUGGGGGACUAGAGGAGCGAAGGAGUCAGUGCUGAACGCGGCCCGGAAGGGUAGCAGCAGACGUCCCUCAGGCUCAUAGGGACCCGCCCCAGCCCUUGUGACCGUCCUUCUCGGCUCCCUCCCAACCCCGGGCUGCCCAGCGUGCCUGUCCCUCGGCCACUCUCUCCUGUCUCCGUCCAUCUCUUUCACCGCUGAAGUGUGUUUAGAUGGCUGCGCCAAGAAAAGGGUAACCAGAUUGUCCUCGGUCAUCUCCCUCAUAGCUCUUCCAGGUUAUAGCUUCCAUCAACAAGAACAGAAAUCCUGAAGGGGAAACUGAGGCACGGAGUCCUGACCCGAGAUGAGUCUGAGAAGAAGUCUCACCCGAUUCUCUCCUCGGUCACUUCAGUCCCUCCCUACUCCAGACGGAUGCUGCAAGGGUCUCUCCGCCCUCAGAAGGGAGUGGAUCUGCGUCUGCACCGGGCGGGACCUGCACUCGAGGAGCCGGACCCUUUCCCUAGCGCCCGGGUCCUAGAGGAGCGUGGCUUGGCCCUCCUCUCAAGAGCUCGCCCGGCUUAGCAGCGGACCUCUUCGCCGGUCCUCGCGCACCCUCUGCCGGCGCCUCUCAGGAAACGCGCUCGCUGUCCCCGCCCUGGAUAUUCCCGUCCCGUAGGACAGACGGAGGGCAGCCGGGAGCUCUGCAUGCCCCUGCUUUUGGAACACUCCUUGCACCAAGAUUCCAGAAAAUUCCUUUGUCUAUUCAAAACUGGAGGAGCGAGGACAAGAGAGCUGAACUUGAGGCAGGCCAGGCUCGGAGCAUAUGGGUCAGUCAUCCAUCACCUGCCACCUCCCUAGAGACCUUGGCAGGCCAGGUAGGUCUCUUCUGGUAAGGAGGGCCAGGGGGGUCCUGAGACACCAGAGCCUUGAUUCUCUAAAGCAGUGGAGUAGGGCUUCAAGUCUUUAACCUAUGGGGUGGGAAGCUGGGGUGUUCCCAUAGGGAGGAGGGACAGUCCCAGGGUUCAAGGUUCUCUUUCUGGAACGGCCUUCUGAGAGUCCCCAUUAUACUGCUUGAGAGCACACAGCUCAGGGUUGAUUCCUUCCCAACUUGGUGUUUGACUGGCCAGCAGGGAGGGUGGGCUGACCAAAUUCAGAUUCCCUGAUCAAACUGAACUAAAAGUAUUCCAAACAAUGUCAAGAAGGUCAAAGGGAUGAGACAGGAUCCAUCAGAGGCCCCGAGGAGCUGGGAGUUAGGAGAAGACGUGUCAGUGUCGCAGGGCAGGACUCCGAGGGCCCUGUCUAGGUGGAGCAGGCAUAUAUUGGUUUGUCCGUGUGUGUGCUCCACUCUGGCAGGCCUCAGGAGGUGGCAUUGCCUUUACUCCUUCUUUCAUGAUGGUGUACACAACUGGCCAUUCUCUCUCAGAGCAGGAAACUCACGAAUCAAAGCCCAGGUUUGAGCCAGACUGGUGGGGUAGCCUGUAAGACUCCACCUUCAGGAGGCUGUGUUGAAUUCUCAUUUCACAGGCAGCUGGGGCUACCAUAGUGAAACCCAGUCUCAAAGCCAAACUGAACCCUGGUUUCAGGGCAGUCAGCGUCAACUCUCUCUGCAGAUUUGAGGGACGAGAGGAAAGGAGGGGAGACAAAAGGCUCAGUGAGAUCUGUGCGGAGCGGAACAAGGGAAUCAGCUGGGCGGAAUCACGGAGACCUGAGUGACAUUCAUCUCUGACACAUGUUGCAUGACUUGGGACAAUAAAAAGAACCUCUCUGGGACAUGUGUGUCUGUCUGUGUACAGGCAUGUACGAGCACAGAUGCCUGCAGUGGCAGCGGCUUUGGAUCCCUGGGAACCAGGGUUUUAGGCAGUCGUGUGCUGCCUGGUGUGGGCACUGGGAAUUGAACUCAGGGACCGGGACCUGAUAGAGCAAUACAUGCUCUUGACCCCUGAACCAUCUUUCUAGCCCAGGACUCAGGCUUUCCAUCUGUAAAAUGGAGCUGGGCGGUGGUGGUGCCCUUAAUCCCAGCACUUGGGAGGCAGAGGCAGGCGGAUUUCUGAGUUCAAGGCCAGCCUGGUCUACAAAGUGAGCAGAGGCUACACAGAGAAACCCUGUCUCAAAAAAACAAAAACAAAACAAAAUCUAGCUGGAGACUGCAUAUCCACA